RNAcentral lists this ribosomal RNA (468 nucleotides) under uncultured bacterium. Its description in RNAcentral is "partial 16S ribosomal RNA". It matches the Rfam family "Bacterial small subunit ribosomal RNA", at positions 28 to 507 of the family's 1533-position model. The record is from RNAcentral.
GACGAACGCUGGCGGCGUGCUUAACACAUGCAAGUCGAACGGAAAGGCCCUGCUUUUGUGGGGUGCUCGAGUGGCGAACGGGUGAGUAACACGUGAGUAACCUGCCCUUGACUUUGGGAUAACUUCAGGAAACUGGGGCUAAUACCGGAUAGGAGCUCCUGCUGCAUGGUGGGGGUUGGAAAGUUUCGGCGGUUGGGGAUGGACUCGCGGCUUAUCAGCUUGUUGGUGGGGUAGUGGCUUACCAAGGCUUUGACGGGUAGCCGGCCUGAGAGGGUGACCGGCCAAAAUGGGACUGAGGUGCGGCCCAGACUCCUACGGGGGGCAGCAGUGGGGAAUAUUGCACAAUGGGCGGAAGCCUGAUGCAGCAACGCCGCGUGCGGGAUGACGGCCUUCGGGUUGUAAACCGCUUUCGCCUGUGACGAAGCGUGAGUGACGGUAAUGGGUAAAGAAGCACCGGCUAACUACGUG